CAAAUGUUUAAAAAAAACAAAAAAAACAAACAAAAAAUAAUAAUAAUAAAUCGGUCUUCUCAAAUGUAUUCCAAACAUCAACACAAAAAACAUAAAUCAUUAGACAAGAGUUGUACAACUUCAAGACUAUAACCAUCAAGAACUGUGACAAAACAAGCAAUGCAAAUGUAUAUUUGUUUUUAUAAGCAACAGCCAAGCCCUGUGACAACAUUGAUUCACUUAUGACAAAAUGCAAAAAAACAGCACUCAAAACACUUAAUCUCAGAAAUCAGACAUUGUGACUCGCUUUUGUUUGGCAUGUCCCUCCCUGACUGUGUCUUAAUAGUGUUAACUAGCUUCCUUCCCUUGUGUCCUUUCCUCUAUGGCCACUGAUCUGGCAGGGCAUGAUAGGUGACAGCUACACGGAGGUAAACCUCUACACGGAGGUAAACCUCUACACGGAGGUAAACCUCUACACGGAGGUAAACCUCUACACGGAGGUAAACCUCUACACGGAGGUAAACCUCCACACGGAGGUAAACCUCCACACGGAGGUAAACCUCCACACGGAGACGGAGGUAAACCUCCACACGGAGGUAAACCUCCACACGGAGACGGAGGUACACCUCCACACGGAGGUACACCUCCACAUGGAGGUCACACGGAGGUACACCUCCACACAAGAGGUACACCUCCACACAAGAGGUACACCUCCACACAAGAGGUACACCUCCACACAGAGGUACACCUCCACACAGAGGUACACCACACAGAGGUACACCUCCACACAGAGGUACACCUCCAUAAUUGACUAG
This 794-nucleotide long non-coding RNA is filed under the name Salmo trutta (river trout). RNAcentral describes it as "lncRNA (ENSSTUG00000033905.1)". Lineage: Eukaryota; Metazoa; Chordata; Actinopteri; Salmoniformes; Salmonidae. The record is from RNAcentral.